RNAcentral lists this ribosomal RNA (253 nucleotides) under uncultured bacterium. Its description in RNAcentral is "partial 16S ribosomal RNA". It matches the Rfam family "Bacterial small subunit ribosomal RNA", at positions 524 to 776 of the family's 1533-position model. The record is from RNAcentral.
UACGUAGGUGGCAAGCGUUAUCCGGAUUUAUUGGGCGUAAAGAGAACGCAGGCGGUCUUUUAAGUCUGAUGUGAAAGCCUUCGGCUUAACCGGAGUAGUGCAUUGGAAACUGGGAGACUUGAGUGCAGAAGAGGAGAGUGGAACUCCAUGUGUAGCGGAGAAAUGCGUAGAUAUAUGGAAGAACACCAGUGGCGAAAGCGGCUCUCUGGUCUGUAACUGACGCUGAGGUUCGAAAGCGUGGGUAGCAAACAGG